This is a non-coding RNA of Rhizodiscina lignyota, 88 nucleotides long. The record is from the annotation of a GenBank genome assembly. Lineage: Eukaryota; Fungi; Ascomycota; Dothideomycetes; Aulographales; Rhizodiscinaceae.
CAGCGUAUAGCUCAGUGGUAGAGCGCCCGCUUUGCACAAGUGCAAUCCAGCCUGCGGGAGGUCUGGGGUUCGAUCCCCCAUUCGUCCA